CACAGGUCUCUGCUAAACCGUAAGGUGAUGUAUAGGGGCUGACGCCUGCCCGGUGCUGGAAGGUUAAGAGGAGUGGUUAGCUUCUGCGAAGCUACGAAUCGAAGCCCCAGUAAACGGCGGCCGUAACUAUAACGGUCCUAAGGUAGCGAAAUUCCUUGUCGGGUAAGUUCCGACCCGCACGAAAGGCGUAACGAUUUGGGCACUGUCUCAACGAGAGACUCGGUGAAAUCAUAGUACCUGUGAAGAUGCAGGUUACCCGCGACAGGACGGAAAGACCCCGUGGAGCUUUACUGUAGCCUGAUAUUGAAAUUCGGCACAG
This 319-nucleotide ribosomal RNA is filed under the name Staphylococcus aureus. RNAcentral describes it as "partial 23S ribosomal RNA". It matches the Rfam family "Bacterial large subunit ribosomal RNA", at positions 1814 to 2132 of the family's 2925-position model. The record is from RNAcentral. Lineage: Bacteria; Bacillati; Bacillota; Bacilli; Caryophanales; Staphylococcaceae.